GCCAUCCUACUACAGUUCUCGGACGCCACUGGACUCAAAAUAAACUCCCACAAAAGCACUUUCGCCCCAAUCCAUGUUGACCCUGAACUCUCUUCCAGCCUCGCGGCCAUUUUGGGAUGCCCGGUUGCCUCUUUCCCCCAGUCUUACUUAGGCUUGCCCCUCUCUACCCACAAGCUUCAUCUUGUAGACUUUUUCUUCCUCAUUGACAAGAUUGACCGAAGAUUGGUAGGCUGGAGAGGACUGUUACCAUCGUGGGCCGGAAGAGCCAUUCUU
This 273-nucleotide ribosomal RNA is filed under the name Triticum aestivum (bread wheat). RNAcentral describes it as "partial small subunit ribosomal RNA". The record is from RNAcentral. Lineage: Eukaryota; Viridiplantae; Streptophyta; Magnoliopsida; Poales; Poaceae.